GACGAACGCUGGCGGCGUGGAUUAGGCAUGCAAGUCGAACGGUAUCAUCCUUUCGGGGGUGAGAGAGUGGCGAACUGGUGAGUAACACGUAGGUUAUCUACCCUCAAGACGGGGACAACCCAGGGAAACUUGGGCUAAUACCGGAUGUGAGCAACUUUUAGUUGUUUGAAAGGUGGCGUAAGCUGUCGUUUGGGGAUGAGCCUGCGUCCUAUUAGUUAGUUGGUGAGGUAACGGCUCACCUAGGCAAUGAUAGGUAGGCGGCCUUAACGGGUGGUCGCCCACACUGGGAUUGAGAUACGGCCCAGACUCCUACGGGAGGCAGCAGUCGAGAAUAGUCUACAAUGGUCGGAAGACUGAUAGUGCGACGCCGCGUGAACGAUGAAUCCCUUCGGGGUGUAAAGUUCUUUUAUAUGUGAGCAGUGCUUCUUAUAUUAACAGUAUGGGGAGAGAGAUAUUAGCAUAUGAAUAAGCAACGGCUAACUCCGUGCCAGCGGCCGCGGUAAAACGU
Molecule: ribosomal RNA, 508 nt
Filed under: uncultured bacterium
Lineage: Bacteria
Description: bacterial SSU rRNA
Rfam family: Bacterial small subunit ribosomal RNA
Source: RNAcentral